Long non-coding RNA from Ziziphus jujuba (common jujube), 477 nucleotides. RefSeq lists it as uncharacterized. The transcript is spliced from 4 exons. The record is from RefSeq and is a predicted model, not a curated record. Lineage: Eukaryota; Viridiplantae; Streptophyta; Magnoliopsida; Rosales; Rhamnaceae.
UCGGUCUUAGCCUCAGAGUCGACGAGCUGGUCUACAACAAACUCCUCCUUCCUCUUAUUCUUCUGCUUCUUCUUCUUCUCACCACUCUUCCCAUUCCUCUGCUUCUCACUGACUCACUGAGACAACUAAAACAAUAACCUCAUCAGGAUGAUGGAUCUGUUAUAUGUAUAUUUUCUCUUUCUAGAAGUAAUGCCCAAGAUGGACAUUUAGCUGCUGGUCGUAAUGGUGUAAAGCGCCUCAGAACUAUAAGUUCUCAUCUGUUUUACUCUUUGAUGUGGUCAAACAACCAAAUAUUUUAUCAUUCCUUUAUAGUAUGGAGACUAAAACUUUUUGUGGUAAUACGACAAAGGUUGCUAUCUAUAUUGUCAUAGAGCCUGUUGUUCCACUAUUAGAAAAGAUCAAGGAACUAAAUUUGGAAGGUACAUAAAGUGGUUUGGCUAGGAAUAUAGAUUGAAGAAAAUGGAGAGGAAAGUGAAG